Long non-coding RNA from Ictalurus punctatus (channel catfish), 3479 nucleotides. NCBI's taxonomy places the organism in Eukaryota, Metazoa, Chordata, Actinopteri, Siluriformes, Ictaluridae. The record is from Ensembl.
CAGGACCUGGCCGGAUUUUGUGAGUAAUACCAGUUUUAAUGCUCUCUGAUUUUUUUAGGAGCAGAGAUAUGUCUGUCUGUCUCCGUUUCUGUCUGUCUGUCAUUCGGCCUGUCUACCUGUCUGUCUAUCUCUCGGACAUUCUGCCUAUCUGUCUCUCUGCCUGUUGGCCUGUCUACUUGCUUGUUUGUCUGUCUACCUGCCUACAUGUCUGUCUGCUUGUCUGUGGGUCUGUUUAGUAUGUCUGUCUGUGGCGUUAUCGGUCAGUCUGUCUGUCUGUCUUGUUGUCUGCCCACCUGUCUAUCAGUCUGUCUGUUUGCCCACUGGUCUGUCUAACUACCCGUUGUCUAUAGACCUGUCUGUCUCUCUGAUUAUGUAUAAAACCUCUCCAGUAUGUCCGUGGUGGUGUGUUUGAGAUUAAUCAGCACUUUGGAGGAGGAUCUGUCUGUCUGUUUGCCUGUCUGUCUACAUACCUGUCUGUCUGUCUACAGAGUGUUUUAUAUAAUGUUAAAUACAGCGUCACGUUCACAAACGUAUGGAACGUUUUAAAGAAACGUUAUCGCAGCUUUAUCGCUAUGAUUUCUACCGACGAGUUCGUAGAACGUUCCUGAGCGUAGUCCGGCGUACAGGAUGACUGACGUGUCUGAGGGGAGAGAAAAAGCGAGACAGAAGACCGAGAGGACAACGAGAUAUCGACUGGAGAAUACAGAAGAAACAUGAAGCUCAUAAUAUGUGUACUGUGUUGGGACACGGGAAGGGAGGAACAAAUCAUGGUGAAAGAAAGAGAAAGACAGUUAGAGAGAGAGACAGACUGAGAGAGAGAGAGAGAGAAGAGGAGAUUAGUAUGCAUGAGCUCACUGUCUCCUCUAAAGCACUUUGUCACCCUAUUCACUCCCUCUGAGCUCUUAUUGAGUCUGGGGUCAUGGCACAGUAAGUACAGUACGGCAGAGAGACAGACAGCUGCAGUUAGACAGCUUGGAUUGUGCAGAAAGACAGGACAUGGCCAUGGGCAGAGACACUGGAGACAGCUUUAGCAGAGGGACAAGAAAUGGGUUAUACAGAGAGACAGGAGUAAGAAGAAAGACAGUAGACAGGCAUACGCAGAGAGACGGUAGACAGGUUUAGCAGAGAGACAGGCAUAAGCAGAGAGACAGGCAUAAGCAGAGAGACAGGAGACAGGCAUAAGCAGAGAGACAGUAGACAGACAUAAGCAGAAAGACAGUAGACAGGUUUAGCAGAGAGACAGGCAUAAGCAGAGAGACAGUAGACAGGUUUAGCAGAGAGACAGGCAUAAGCAGAGAGACAGUAGACAGGCAUAAGCAGAAUGUCAGUAGACAGGUUUAGCAGAGAGACAGCUUCAACAUAGAAAGAGACAAAAGAACAUAAUCAGCAGAGACCGGUAGACAGGAGACAGCGCAACCAAGGCAGAGUUUAUCAGUGGGUGUGAGCGAGAGAGAGAGAGAGAGAGAGAGAGAGAGCGCGAGAGAGAGAGACAGCUGUCUUAUAUCCUGUAAUUCAGUUCAUUGGAUGUUGGUGAAAAUGUAAAGGCACGGCAGAGCGCACUGGUGCGUGUUGAAGACGGAGAGUAGUGUUUACUCAUGUCGCUGAAUUUCACGGCGUUUUGAACGAACAAAUCUUUGGCAUUAUCGCCGAUCCGUAAAUAAGUGUUUCCUCCUCUCUGACGCUUAGCUGCUGCGUUGUUCUUCUUCAGCAACUUGUAAUGGCACGCCAUGCAGAUCUGUCAUCAGUGUUUCCUUCUGGUGUGUGUGUGUGUGUGUGUGUGUGUGUGUGUGUGUGUGUGUGAGAUCAUGCUCGUUCUCUUCCUCCCUGUCUCGGAGGAUCUGUAAAGCACGAGACAAUACAGCACGGUCUGAGGAACAUCUGAAGCGUGUGGAAGAAGUCGGCCAUGUUUGAUGGGCACUCUGGGUGGUGUGUUAGUGAGAAAAACAGGAAGUGAAGAGGAUGGAACAGGAAAUUAAUCCCGAGGAUAAUGAAUAUAAUAUAAAAUUCUGGUUUAAGUGUGUGUGUGUGUGUGUGCACGUCCUGAAGUGUUUUAUUCCUUCACACCACAGCGAAUUUUCCACUGAUUCCGUUUUGUAUUUAUUAAAGAACGACACACAAUGUAGUUAUACCCCAGCACGUGGUUUCAACGGAAGGAGUCUCCAGUGUCGGAGGUAAAGCUGGAAGUUGUUGUUUUUUUUUUUUUCUCUGACAUCUUUAGGACAGAGGGGGUUUUAAUCAUUUUUUUUUGUGUAUCAAACAGUGUUUAUUACAGAACGAGAAAGUGAAGGGACGACAGUUUAGGGCUGCCGCAAGAUAAGUAACGGCAGAAACUCGUGUUGUGGACGUUCUGUAACAAUAAACGGACAAAAAAUAUAUAUUUUCCAAAAAUGUCAUCUUUGGAGAAUUGUUCAGCAGCGGUUAGAAUCCUGGUCAUGAACUGACGAGGUUAAAAUGAGGGAUUGUCGGAGUGAGAGAAACGGCUAAACACGUAGCGUAGUGCUAAGAAAAACAUACACACAAGCACACACACACACACACACACAUUACGUUAGUGUGUAAAUGUUCGAUCUGUUACUGUGUGGGAUUUACACACUGCGUUUAUUCACGUUCUCCUCAUCCUCACUGUGUGCUGCACUUAAAUCUUGCAUCACUCUUGUUUUUAUUUCAAUGCUAAGCUACCUUUAGGGCUUUGAGCCGCCGGUCGUGUCCCAAACCCAUAACACUCUGGUGCUCGGUGUGGUUCGGACCCACCGCAGCACAGUGGAGAGGCUUCAAAGAGCCUGUAGACUAAACAAACAGCUGUUUCUCUCUCUCUCUCUCUCUCUCUCUCUCCUCUUUUUUUUCCUCUUCUCCUUUCAUUUUCUUCGUUCUUUCUCCUUUCCUCCUGGUCCACAUCUCGGAUUGUUCGGGGUUUUCGUUUUAACCCGUCCCGGACUCGGUGCUCUGUGUUUUGCGGUCGAGCGAGUUAAAAUAGCAGUUUAGGAAUGUUCUGUGUCACAGGUGUACAUCAACUCGACGCCUUAUUUCGUCUGCCUGGAAGUAGAAAAUAAAAAGAGUAAUAAAACGAACCGAUUCGUACCGACGCUGUAUUUUGACACUGGAGCGACGUGACUGAAAUGUCGCAGCUGACAGCGUUGUAGAAAUGACGGGUUUCAUUUAUUAAAAUGAUAUUUCACUGCACUGCUACUACCGUCGAAUAGCUCUGUUUUAAUUAAAUACAAAAAGUUUUGUGACGAUAACACAACACAGUCCUGUUCUCUGUGUAGAGUUCAUUUAUUACAGUCUCGGCUAGCGUGUGUGUGUGUGUGUGUGUGCGCACGCUACAUGCACUAGGAGUGUACUGACUCGUGUGGGGACGAGUGUGACGCGGUCGCCGCUCCUGUUGACCCCGUGACCUUGUGUUGUGGAGCCACUCCAACAAGGAGGCUUCUGUUCUGUAGAAUGACAUCACAGGUCCUCUCACCUACUAGUCUGUGUGU